CAGCACCUCAAGUGGUCAGGAUGAUUAUUGGGCAUAAAGCAUCCGUAGCCGGCGCUGUAAGUUUUCGGUUAAAUCUGUACGCUCAACGUACAGGCUGCCGGGAAUACUGCAGCGCUAGGGAGUGGGAGAGGUAGACGGUACUCGGUAGGAAGGGGUAAAAUCCUUUGAUCUAUUGAUGACCACCUGUGGCGAAGGCGGUCUACCAGAACACGUCCGACGGUGAGGGAUGAAAGCUGGGGGAGCAAACCGGAUUAGAUACCCGAGUAGUCC
This 270-nucleotide ribosomal RNA is filed under the name uncultured archaeon. RNAcentral's name for it is "partial 16S ribosomal RNA". It matches the Rfam family "Archaeal small subunit ribosomal RNA", at positions 477 to 747 of the family's 1478-position model. The record is from RNAcentral.